UGAUGUGAAAUCCUAUGGCUCAACCAUAGAACUGCAUUGGAAACUGUCAAACUAGAAUACUGAAGGGGCAGAUGGAAUUAGUGGUGUAGGGGUAAAAUCCGUAGAUAUCACUAGGAAUACCGAAAGCGAAAGCGAUCUGCUGGGAAGUUAUUGACGCUGAGGCACGAAAGCGUGGGGAGCAAACGGGAUUAGAUACCCCGGUAGUCCACGCCCUAAACGAUGAAUGCUAGUCGUCGGAAAGCUCGUCUCUUCGGUGAUGCAGUUAACACAUUAAGCAUUCCGCCUGGGGAGUACGGUCGCAAGAUUAAAACUCAAAGGAAUAGACGGGGACCCGCACAAGUGGUGGAGCAUGUGGUUUAAUUCGAAGAUACGCGAAGAACCUUACCUAGCCUUGACAUUGAUUGAAUCUUUCAGAGAUGAGAGAGUGCCUUUCGAGGGACAUGAAAACAGGUGCUGCACGGCUGUCGUCAGCUCGUGUCGUGAGAUGUUGGGUUAAGUCCCGCAACGAGCGCAACCCUCGUCGUUAGUUGCUAACAGUUCGGCUGAGCACUCUAGCGAGACUGCCUUCGCAAGGAGGAGGAAGGUGAGGACGACGUCAAGUCAUCAUGGCCCUUAUGGCUAGGGCUACACACGUGCUACAAUGGGGCGUACAGAGAGUUGCGAUACCGCGAGGUGGAGCUAAUCUCAUAAAGCGUCUCUCAGUUCGGAUUGAUCUCUGCAACUCGAGAUCAUGAAGCUGGAAUCACUAGUAAUCGUAGAUCAGCAAUGCUACGGUGAAUACGUUCCCGGGUCUUGUACUCACCGCCCGUCACACCAUGGGAGUUGAUUUCACCCGAAAUCGGGAAGCAAACCUUCGGGAUGCUACCGCUUACGG
RNAcentral lists this ribosomal RNA (874 nucleotides) under uncultured bacterium. Its description in RNAcentral is "bacterial SSU rRNA". It matches the Rfam family "Bacterial small subunit ribosomal RNA", at positions 590 to 1462 of the family's 1533-position model. The record is from RNAcentral.